GAUGAACGCUGGCGGCGUGCCUAAUACAUGCAAGUCGAGCGAACGGACGAGAAGCUUGCUUCUCUGAUGUUAGCGGCGGACGGGUGAGUAACACGUGGAUAACCUACCUAUAAGACUGGGAUAACUUCGGGAAACCGUAGCUAAUACCGGAUAAUAUUUUGAACCGCAUGGUUCAAAAGUGAAAGACGGUCUUGCUGUCACUUAUAGAUUGAUCCGCGCUGCAUUAGCUAGUUGGUAAGGUAACGGCUUACCAAGGCAACGAUGCAUAGCCGACCUGAGGGGGUGAUCGGCCACACUGGAACUGAGACACGGUCCAGACUCCUACGGGAGGCAGCAGUAGGGAAUCUUCCGCAAUGGGCGAAAGCCUGACGGAGCAACGCCGCGUGAGUGAUGAAGGUCUUCGGAUCGUAAAACUCUGUUAUUAGGGAAGAACAUAUGUGUAAGUAACUGUGCACAUCUUGACGGUACCUAAUCAGAAAGCCACGGCUAACUACGUG
RNAcentral lists this ribosomal RNA (497 nucleotides) under uncultured bacterium. RNAcentral describes it as "partial 16S ribosomal RNA". It matches the Rfam family "Bacterial small subunit ribosomal RNA", at positions 28 to 507 of the family's 1533-position model. The record is from RNAcentral.